This 270-nucleotide ribosomal RNA is filed under the name uncultured archaeon. RNAcentral's name for it is "partial 16S ribosomal RNA". It matches the Rfam family "Archaeal small subunit ribosomal RNA", at positions 477 to 747 of the family's 1478-position model. The record is from RNAcentral.
CAGCUCUCCGAGUAGUGUGGAUGUUUAUUGGGCCUAAAGCAUCCGUAGCUUGCUAGGCAAGUCCCCUGUUAAAUCCACCGAUUCAAUCGAUGGUUUGCGGGGGAUACUGUUUGGCUAGGGGACGGGAGAGGUCGACGGUAUUUCCGGGGUAGGGGUGAAAUCCUAUAAUCCCGGGAGGACCACCAGUGGCGAAGGCUGUCGACUAGAACGCGCCCGACGGUGAGGGAUGAAAGCUGGGGGAGCGAACCGGAUUAGAUACCCGAGUAGUCC